Molecule: long non-coding RNA, 96 nt
Organism: Thalassophryne amazonica
Lineage: Eukaryota; Metazoa; Chordata; Actinopteri; Batrachoidiformes; Batrachoididae
Exons: 3
Source: RefSeq, a predicted model, not a curated record
UUGAAGUCUGGGUUCUAAAACACUGCAAAAAAGGAGUGUCUAAAAACAAGAUAAAAACACUAAAUCUGAGGGAAAAGGUACUCAAAACAAGUGAAA